GUUGAACGCUGGCGGCAUGCCUUACACAUGCAAGUCGAACGGCAGCGGGGGAGAAGCUUGCUUUUCCUGCCGGCGAGUGGCGAACGGGUGAGUAAUACAUCGGAACGUGCCCUGUAGUGGGGGAUAACUAGUCGAAAGAUUAGCUAAUACCGCAUACGACCUGAGGGUGAAAGUGGGGGACCGCAAGGCCUCACGCUAUAGGAGCAGCCGAUGUCUGAUAAGCAAGUUGGUGGGGUAAAGGCCUACCAAGGCGACGAUCAGUAGCUGGUCUGAGAGGACGAUCAGCCACACUGGGACUGAGACACGGCCCAGACUCCUACGGGAGGCAGCAGUGGGGAAUUUUGGACAAUGGGCGAAAGCCUGAUCCAGCAAUGCCGCGUGUGUGAAGAAGGCCUUCGGGUUGUAAAGCACUUUUGUCCGGAAAGAAAUGGCUCUGGUUAAUACCUGGGGUCGAUGACGGUACCGGAAGAAUAAGGACCGGCUAACUACGUGCCAGCCGCCGCAGUAA
RNAcentral lists this ribosomal RNA (508 nucleotides) under uncultured bacterium. Its description in RNAcentral is "partial 16S ribosomal RNA". It matches the Rfam family "Bacterial small subunit ribosomal RNA", at positions 28 to 523 of the family's 1533-position model. The record is from RNAcentral.